AGAAUCCAAUCUGAAUACUGAAAAGCUGCUGCCCAUCACAGAGACCAGUGCUUUUCAACCUUGGUAAUUUCCAGAUGCACAAAGUUCAACUCCCAGAAUUUUCAGCAAUGGCGAUGCUGGGAGCUGAAGUUCACACAUGCGGAAGCUGCAAAGACAGAAAACACUAAUGCAGAGCCUGCUGAUUUAGAUGGUCUACAGCAGCUUCUUAAGAUGCUUUUCUCAGUAGGCUUGACAGUAUCUCAUGAUUUGCAAACAAGGUGUUGUCAAAAAUCAGCCAAUAUAUUUAAGACUGCUGUUUUCUGGGAUAUAACAUACAGCAGCAAAACACACAUACAAGAAACACAGAUUGUUUUGCCGCUAAUGCUACAUACAUAAACUAUAGUUUCAGCCUAUACUGCAGUUCACCACUUUGGAAAAGUUCCUGUGACAUCCAAGCCUAUGCUCUUUACAUCUUUUUCAUUUUCCCCACUGUAAGAAAAAAUGACUUGCUGUAGAAACAGACAGGCAGAACUGAUUAUACAGUUUAUUUUACAAACAGCUGCAUAUAAAAAUGUGAAAUAAAAUGCCUUUUUAAAAAAAAA
Long non-coding RNA from Candoia aspera, 581 nucleotides. RefSeq lists it as uncharacterized. The transcript is spliced from 2 exons. Lineage: Eukaryota; Metazoa; Chordata; Lepidosauria; Squamata; Candoiidae. The record is from RefSeq and is a predicted model, not a curated record.